This 494-nucleotide ribosomal RNA is filed under the name uncultured bacterium. RNAcentral's name for it is "partial 16S ribosomal RNA". It matches the Rfam family "Bacterial small subunit ribosomal RNA", at positions 28 to 507 of the family's 1533-position model. The record is from RNAcentral.
GACGAACGCUGGCGGCGUGCUUAACACAUGCAAGUCGAACGGUGAAGCGCCUUCCUUUUUGGUGGGUGUGGAUGAGUGGCGAACGGGUGAGUAACACGUGAGUAACCUUCCCCCUUCUUCUGGAUAACCGCAUGAAAGUGUGGCUAAUACGGGAUAUUCUGGGUCUGUCGCAUGAUGGGUCUGGGACAGAUAUUGUUUCGGUGGGGGAUGGUCUGGCGGCCUAUCAGCUUGUUGGUGGUGUGAUGGUCUACGACGGCGGUGACGGGUAGCCGGGCUGAGAGGGUUGACGGUCACAAGGGGACUGAGACACGGCCCAGACUCCUACGGGAGGCAGCAGUGGGGAAUAUUGCACAAUGGGCGAAAGCCUGAUGCAGCGACGCAGCGUGAGGGAUGGAGGCCUUCGGGUUGUGAACCUCUUUCGCCAGUGAAGCAGGCCUGCCUCGUUUGUGGGUGGGUUGACGGUAGCUGGAUAAGAAGCGCCGGCUAACUACGUG